RNAcentral lists this ribosomal RNA (253 nucleotides) under uncultured bacterium. RNAcentral's name for it is "partial 16S ribosomal RNA". It matches the Rfam family "Bacterial small subunit ribosomal RNA", at positions 524 to 776 of the family's 1533-position model. The record is from RNAcentral.
UACAGAGGUCUCAAGCGUUGUUCGGAUUCAUUGGGCGUAAAGAGCUCGUAGGCGGCUUGUCGCGUCGGCUGUGAAAUCCCGUGGCUCAACUGCGGGUCUGCAGCCGAUACGGGCAGGCUAGAGUUCGGUAGGGGAGACUGGAAUUCCUGGUGUAGCGGUGAAAUGCGCAGAUAUCAGGAGGAACACCGAUGGCGAAGGCAGGUCUCUGGGCAGAUACUGACGCUGAGGUGCGAAAGCGUGGGGAGCAAACAGG